UGGGGAAUAUUGGACAAUGGGGGCAACCCUGAUCCAGCAACGCCGCGUGAAUGAAGAAGGCCUUCGGGUUGUAAAGUUCUUUUGUCUGGGAGCAAAAGUUGCGUAUGAAUAGUAUGCGAUGAUGAGAGUACCAGAAGAAUAAGCACCGGCUAACUACGUGCCAGCAGCCGCGGUAAUACGUAGGGUGCGAGCGUUAAUCGGAAUUACUGGGCGUAAAGCGUGCGCAGGCGGUUUUGUAAGACAGAGGUGAAAUCCCCGGGCUCAACCUGGGAACUGCCUUUGUGACUGCAAGGCUAGAGUGCGGCAGAGGGGGAUGGAAUUCCGCGUGUAGCAGUGAAAUGCGCAGAUAUCAGGAGGAACACCAAUGGCGAAGGCAGGUCUCUGGGCCAUUACUGACACUGAGGAGCGAAAGCGUGGGGAGCGAACAGG
RNAcentral lists this ribosomal RNA (429 nucleotides) under uncultured bacterium. Its description in RNAcentral is "bacterial SSU rRNA". It matches the Rfam family "Bacterial small subunit ribosomal RNA", at positions 355 to 776 of the family's 1533-position model. The record is from RNAcentral.